CGAAGGGGGCUAGCGUUGUUCGGAAUUACUGGGCGUAAAGGGCGCGUAGGCGGCCGUGCAAGUCAGAUGUGAAAGCCCUGGGCUCAACCCAGGAUGUGCAUUCGAUACUGCAUGGCUAGAGUGUCGGAGAGGAUGGUGGAAUUCCCAGUGUAGAGGUGAAAUUCGUAGAUAUUGGGAAGAACACCGGUGGCGAAGGCGACCAUCUGGACGACAACUGACGCUGAGGCGCGAAAGCGUGGGGAGCAAACAGGAUUAGAUACCCUGGUAGUCCACGCCGUAAACUAUGCGUGUUGGACGUUGGCGAGCCUAGCUCGUCGGUGUCGCAGCUAACGCGUUAAACACGCCGCCUGGGGAGUACGGCCGCAAAGUUA
This 371-nucleotide ribosomal RNA is filed under the name uncultured organism. Its description in RNAcentral is "bacterial SSU rRNA". It matches the Rfam family "Bacterial small subunit ribosomal RNA", at positions 526 to 896 of the family's 1533-position model. The record is from RNAcentral.